RNAcentral lists this ribosomal RNA (473 nucleotides) under uncultured bacterium. Its description in RNAcentral is "bacterial SSU rRNA". It matches the Rfam family "Bacterial small subunit ribosomal RNA", at positions 30 to 496 of the family's 1533-position model. The record is from RNAcentral.
AUUGAACGCUGGCGGCAUGCCUUACACAUGCAAGUCGAACGGCAGCACGGGAGCAAUCCUGGUGGCGAGUGGCGAACGGGUGAGUAAUAUAUCGGAACGUGCCCAGUCGUGGGGGAUAACGCAGCGAAAGCUGUGCUAAUACCGCAUACGAUCCAUGGAUGAAAGCGGGGGAUCGCAAGACCUCGCGCGAUUGGAGCGGCCGAUAUCAGAUUAGCUAGUUGGUGAGGUAAAGGCUCACCAAGGCGACGAUCUGUAGCUGGUCUGAGAGGACGACCAGCCACACUGGAACUGAGACACGGUCCAGACUCCUACGGGAGGCAGCAGUGGGGAAUUUUGGACAAUGGGCGCAAGCCUGAUCCAGCAAUGCCGCGUGCAGGAUGAAGGCCUUCGGGUUGUAACUAGCUUUGUUACGGAGCGAAAGGACUCUCUCUAAUACGGGGAGUUCAUGACGGUACCGUAAGAAUAAGCACCGG